UGAAUGCACUAACUGUAAGUCGCUCUGGAUAAGAGUGUCUGCUACAUGACAAAAA
Molecule: non-coding RNA, 55 nt
Organism: Salmo salar (Atlantic salmon)
Lineage: Eukaryota; Metazoa; Chordata; Actinopteri; Salmoniformes; Salmonidae
Source: Rfam